GAUGAACGCUGGCGGCGUGCCUAAUACAUGCAAGUCGAGCGAACAGACGAGGAGCUUGCUCCUCUGACGUUAGCGGCGGACGGGUGAGUAACACGUGGAUAACCUACCUAUAAGACUGGGAUAACUUCGGGAAACCGGAGCUAAUACCGGAUAAUAUAUUGAACCGCAUGGUUCAAUAGUGAAAGACGGUUUUGCUGUCACUUAUAGAUGGAUCCGCGCCGCAUUAGCUAGUUGGUAAGGUAACGGCUUACCAAGGCAACGAUGCGUAGCCGACCUGAGAGGAUGAUCGGCCACACUGGAACUGAGACACGGUCCAGACUCCUACGGGAGGCAGCAGUAGGGAAUCUUACGCAAUGGGCGAAAGCUUGACGGAGCAACGCCGCGUGAGUGAUGAAGGUCUUCGGAUCGUAAAACUCUGUUAUUAGGGAAGAACAAAUGUGUAAGUAACUAUGCACGUCUUGACGGUACCUAAUCAGAAAGCCACGGCUAACUACGU
This 496-nucleotide ribosomal RNA is filed under the name uncultured bacterium. RNAcentral describes it as "partial 16S ribosomal RNA". It matches the Rfam family "Bacterial small subunit ribosomal RNA", at positions 28 to 506 of the family's 1533-position model. The record is from RNAcentral.